Long non-coding RNA from Galleria mellonella (greater wax moth), 653 nucleotides. RefSeq lists it as uncharacterized. The transcript has 2 exons. The record is from RefSeq and is a predicted model, not a curated record. Lineage: Eukaryota; Metazoa; Arthropoda; Insecta; Lepidoptera; Pyralidae.
AGAACAUUCCAAGCGAUGGCCUAAUGUCGGCUAUGUUCAUAUCGACUCGUACAUAGACUACUUCUUAUGAAUUAUUUGCCAUUAGUAGAAACGUACAAUGCAUGAAAUUUGUAGACGAUUGAAAUUAAUAGUCGAAUGAAUAAAAUUAGUAGUUGAACAAUCUGAAAAUCUACCUAUAAUUCGAAUGAAUUGCUUAGUCGAAUAUUUAGGCAUAUCGUGGUAUAAAACAUCAGUUUAAAUUUUAAAUUAAAUCUUCUACUGUCAAAACUACACCUAAUUAGUAGUUUUCGGGCUGUCAGAACAAAUACACAGACGUUUCUUAAAUAUCUCAAAUCUAUUUAAAAUUUUAUUACGUAUAUUAGUAUGAUCUACAAUGGACGAAUAUUCAUAAAUAUGGUAAUGCCAAUGCUGACACCCAAAAUCUUUAGCUGACAAUUAAUUAUCCAUUGACUUAGUUUAACGUAGAAACACAAAAUAGUUGUAAUACUUAUCUGCUCUAUCUGUGGGUUUCGGUGUACUGUCCUACCUACUAACCACAAACUAAAUAAAAUACGUUGCUACUAUUUUACCUCGCUAUCCUUGUUUAAUUUCUACUAUAUAGACAUUUAUUCUUUCGUUAUACUCUUUAAAAACGCCAAAGUCACAAUUAGUGA